This 207-nucleotide unclassified non-coding RNA is filed under the name Hevea brasiliensis (rubber tree). Lineage: Eukaryota; Viridiplantae; Streptophyta; Magnoliopsida; Malpighiales; Euphorbiaceae. The record is from RNAcentral.
AAAGAAGGAAAGAAAGAAAGAAGGAACGAAAUAGAUGAUAUAUGAUGGUGCUGUAAUUUAAGCCAAAGGAGUGGUGAGCCUCAGGUUAAAAAGCACAAUCUUAGCCUCAUCAUGAUCAGGAUGACCAUGAUCGCCAGCAACACACUACUGUUUUGAUCAUGGUUAAUUAGUUGCAGCAAAAACCUUCCUGAUCAAUAGUCUACUUCC